RNAcentral lists this long non-coding RNA (6082 nucleotides) under Gossypium barbadense (sea-island cotton). Its description in RNAcentral is "long non-coding RNA (GBAR_LNC013452)". Lineage: Eukaryota; Viridiplantae; Streptophyta; Magnoliopsida; Malvales; Malvaceae. The record is from RNAcentral.
UUAUGGAUCACCUUACUCACAGAAUAAAAAUGCCUUAUAGGAUUUACUAAGAAUUUUAGGUCAGGAACAAGGUCACCCUUGGUUAGUGGGUGGAGAUUUUAAUGAAAUAAUUUACUCAUUUGAAAAAAGGGGAGGUCAUCCAAGGGAGGAGAAAAGGAUGGUAGAGUUUCGCGAAGUCUUAAAAGAAUGCCAACUUAUAGAUGUGGGCUACUCGGGAACAUGGUAUACAUGGGAAAAAGGGAAUUUACCGGAAACAAAUAUCAGAGAAAGACUGGAUAGGGGUGUUGCGAAUGAAAAAUGGAUGGAACUCUUUCCAAGAGGCAAUAUACACCAUUUAACGUCUUCACUUUCGGAUCAUUGUCCCCUUUUAAUAAGCACAACUAAUGAAAGCAUAUUCAAGGGAAUCCCAAGUUUUAAAUUUGAAGCAUGGUGGACCACAAAGGAAUCGAUUGAAGAUGAAAUUAAGAAAUCAUGGGAGUCUUCAAAUGGAUCUAUUUUUGAAAAGAUUGAAAUAUUACAAAUCAGCUUGUCAAAAUGGGCAAAAUCAAUAAAGAAGGAACGGAAGGGGUUGACGGAUAAACUUACAAAGGUGCUCGAAGAUUUAAUGGAGAAAGAACGAGAUGAUGAUAUAAUGGCGCAGAUUAUUGAUAUGAGAAUUCAUCUGAAUAUGGAGAUCGACAAAGAGGAGAUGUAUUGGGAACAGAGAGCACGGGCUAACUGGCUUAAGUUAGGGGAUAAGAAUACUGCAUUCUUCCACAAAUAUGCCUCAAUGCGGAAAAGAAUCAACACAAUAAGCAGGUUGGAUACAGAUGAUGGAAAUGGAAUUUUUGAGGAAUCAGAAAUAAAUGAGACUGCAACAAAGUAUUUCCAGAAUCUAUUUUCGACUAACGGCGUAGGAAAUCUAUCCCAUAUUUUAACAAGUAUUAAUAACAGCAUUUCUCCGGACAUCAACACAACCCUUUUGGCAAAAUAUACGGCAUAAGAGAUCUUUAUUGCAGUAAAAGGAAUGGGAUCCACCAAAGCACCAGGUUACAAUGGUUUUCCGGCACUAUUUUUUCAAAAAUAUUGGCAUAUUAUAGGUAAAGAUAUUGAAAACUUUUGCUUGGAAGUUUUGAACAACGGAAAGGAUUUUGAAGGUGUACAACCCAAAUUUUACCCGGCCCGUACCAGCAAAACAAAAACAGUCCAUUUACAAGACCCAAUGGCCCAAAAUAAUUAAAAAAACCCUAAGGCCCAACAAGCCCACAACCCAAACAUAAAAAGAAACCCUAGCCUCCUAAUCUCUGUCACCAUCAACCACGCUUUUGCUGCCAUCGACGUACGUCCCAUCACCGCCCCACUUGCACCACCUGCUCUACCUGCAAAACAAAGGAGAACACGCAAGCAGAAACAAAGAAGAAAAAAACAAAAACAAAAUCAUGUAUUUCGGCUAUAAAAAAGCCAAUUUUUGUAACAUUAGGGGGAUUUUUAUUUUUUGGAAAAAAAGGGAAAAACCGAUUCAAAAAAGAAAAAAAACAAAGAUUCAAGAAGAAAUAAAAGUAACUUUCUUGUUAUUAUUUCGUUUUUUAUCUCUUUUAUUCUAUUUUUAAUUAAUCUAUUUUUAUUUUUUAUUAUUUUUUACUUCUGUUUGUUCUAAAAUAUAUAUAUGUAUAUACUCAUAUAUAGCAAAAAAAUAUAAAAAGGGAAAAAAUUACCUUUUAAUCUUUUCACGGUGGCCGGUGCGAAGCCGGCGCGAAGGCGGUACGGCGGGGCUUGGCCGGAAUCUAGACUUAGUCCAGAGAGAAAUUUCUUCCCCCCUUUUCUUUUUUCUUCUAAGUGACCAAAUGAUUGUUUUUUCCAAAAAUUACGACUUUUAUACCCUUGUAAAACGACGCCGUUUUGGCCGGCAUCCUUAAGUUUUUAAUUUAUACACACAUAUUUUUAAUUUAUAUCUAUAUACAUAUUUUCUAAAUUUUUUAUAAGUAUAUAUAUUUACGUACUUAUAUAUAUUAUUCUUUCUAAUUUGUAUAUAAAUAUUUACAUCCCUAUUUUUAAUAUAUUUUAAACAUAUAUAUAUAAAUUAUCAUUCUUUACUUGUUUAUAUAUUUUUUAUUAUUUUCAAAUUUUGAUGUAUACUUGCAUAUAUAUCUUUUUACAUUUUUUAAAAUUUUAUUCAUUUUCUUUAUUUACUUAUUUAUUUAUGUUUUCAUUAUUAUUUUAAAAGAAUGUUUUACUUUUACUUGCUUAUAUACUUGUUAUUUUUAUGCUAUUAAUUUGUCAUUUUUAUUUAUCUUAUUUUCGUUGCUAUUGCCCGUAUUAUUUAUGCUUAUAUCAUUGUAUUCAUUUUAUUUUGUUAUGCGUAUUGACACCGUGUUUCAUUUCUACUAUAUUGUGUUAGAUUAAUUUUGUUCAAUGCAUAAAUUGUGAUUUUUGAAUAACCAAAAUCUCGUGUUUAGAUUUGGGAAGGUCAUACCCUAACUUACUGGGUUUCGAUUUUCACAAUAAAUCUAAAUACACGAAUCUUUUCAGACUCAAGUUUUAAACGAUCUCAGGAAUUAAGAAAAGAUCGUGUCCUAACUCACUAGGCAUGAUCCCCUUUUUUAAAAUUCGAGAUAGCCAAAUAUUUUCUUAAAUAAGUAAUUUUUCGGCAUGUAUUCUCGUAUCGAGAAUUCGAUACGUUGUGUCCUAACGCAUUGGAUAUGACAUGUCGUUUUCUCGAGAUGAGCAUUUUUCUAAAAAAUAAUAAAGGUAAUAUUUUGUGUUUGGAAAUUCGAGAAAAUAUGCCCUAACGUGCUGGAUUUUGACUUCUCGUUUGACCAAAUAGCCAAAUAUCCUCUUAAAUCUCAAUCCAUAUCAUUCGAGUUUUUUUAAGGAUCGUACUUUAAAUCUCUUUAAAGUUUUCAAUCUUCGACAUUAAGACAUUAAUUAAUCAACUAGGUACCAAUUUUGGGCGUUACGAGGGUGCUAAUCCUUCCUCGUACGUAACCAACUCCCGAACCCGUUUUUCUAAAUUUCGUGGACCAAAAUCGUUGUUUUAAUAAAUUUAAAUUUUUUAUUAAAAACAACCACUUUUCAAGGUGACCCGAUCACACCUCAUCAAAAAAGAUUGGUGGCGACUCCCAUUUUAAUUUUCUUUUUCAAAAUCCAAGUCGACCUUGUUUUGUCAAAAAAAUUGUGUCAACAGAAGGUUUAAACCUAACUGAGAUUAUACUUAUUCCGAAGACCUCCAACCCCACAAAUCUUGCUAAUUUAAAACCCAUUAGCUUAUGCACAAUUAUAUAUAAAAUUAUAGCCAAAAUUAUUGCCAAUCGUCUUCAGGAAUUCAUUGGAACGUGUAUAGAUAAUGCUCAAAAUGCAUUCGUUCCAGGGAGGCUCAUAUCAGACAAUGUAUUGAUAGCCUAUGAAAUUCUACAUACACUUCGCCAAAAGCGAACGGGGAAAAAAGGAUUCAUGGCGAUAAAGUUGGACAUGAGUAAAGCUUACGAUAGAGUUGAAUGGGCAUUCUUGAAGGAAGUUAUGAUCCGUAUGGGCUUCACACAGGAAUGGGUGUCAUUAAUUAUGAGAUGUAUUUCUACAGUCUCUUAUGUAGUAAACACCAAUGGAAGGAGAGGCAGUGUUUCUAAACCUACCAGAGGACUCUGACAAGGUGAACUACUUAUCCCUUUUCUUUUUCUUAUUUGUAGCGAAGGACUUUCGUCCUUACUAAGGAUUGUAACAAGAGAGGGUUGGAUAAAAGGAGUGAAGGCUAGCAGAAGAGGCCCGACAAUUUCACACUUAUUAUUUGCAGAUGACUGCAUUUUGUUUGGCGAAGCUACAAAAAGCAGAACAAGGAUCUUAAAAGAUAUUUUGAAGGAGUAUGAGACUUGCUCCGGUCAAUGUGUAAAUUUUAAUAAGUCUAUGAUCUUCUUCAGCUCUAAUACAGUGGAAGGGGAUAAAGAGAAUAUCUCUGCUGAAAUGGGAAUAAGGCGCUCGACUAAUAUAGAAAAAUAUUUAAGACUACCAAAUAUGGUAGGAAGGAAGAAGAAGGAAUCUUUUCAGAAUCUAAAGGACAGAAUUAAGUAGAGGAUCAAAAAUUGGAGUACACGUUUUCUAUCUCAAGGGGAAAAGAGGUUUUCAUAAAAUCAGUACUUCAAGCAAUUCCAACUUAUGCUAUGACAUGUUUUCUGCUACCAAAAUCGCUUUGUGGGGAGUUUGAAAAUAUGUUUGCUAGAUUCUAGUGGCAAAAAGGAAAAGGCAAGAAAGGAAUUCAUUGGUGCUAAUGGGAAUAUAUGUGUAGUUCUAAAGAGGAGGGAGGUAUGGGCUUUCGGAAUAUGGCGCAAUUUAAUAUAUCACUACUAGCUAAACAAGGAUAGAGGAUUAUGAAUAAUCAGAAUGCUCUUGUUACGCAAGUAUUUAAAGCCAAAUAUUUCCCGAAUGACCAUUUUUUAAAUUCCUGUUUAGGAAAUUCUUGUUCUUAUGUGUGGAAAAGUAUUUAGGCAGCUAAAGCUUUAUUGAUAAAAGGACAAUAUUGGAGGGUGGGUACAGGUACUAGUAUAUUCAUUAAAGAUGCUUGGAUUCCAUAUUCAGUUAAUUUUAAAUUAUCAACAGAAAUCAACUCUAUGCGCGAUUCCAAAGUAAAUGAGCUGAUUGACAGUAAUAAUAGAAUUUAGAAAAAGGAGCUGAUUAGUAAUACCUUCAUAGAAGAAGACGCUGCAAGACUCAUCCGAAUCCCUCUAGCACGAACACCUUAUGAAGACUUUCUUAUUUAGGGAGGUGAGAUGUCGGGUGAAUUUAAGGUCCGAAGUGCCUAUAAACUAUUACAGAGAUCGGAUGAAAAUCCUAGAGCUUAUGCUUUACAAACCAUCUACAGAAAAUUUUAUAAACAACUUUGGAGCCUGAAUCUACCAACAAAAAUAAAGGUUACAAUAUGGAGGCUAUCAUGGAACUAUCUACCUACAAAGGUAAAUAUGUAGCACAGGAAGCUAGCAGUCAAUACAAGUUGUUCCCGAUGUGGAGAAAGAGCUGAAACAAUAAAUCAUUUAUUUCGUGAAUGCCCUGUUACAAUUGAUGUAUGGAGAGCAUUAUCAUUUCAGAAUAUUAUGAUGAAUCAAAGCGAGGACUUUGUACAGUGGUUUACCUGGGUGCUAGCGCAACUCAACCCUUGUCAAGGUCGGCUUUUCUGUUAUGCACUUUGGGCCAUAUGGGGAGAUAGAAACAAAAGAUUACACUAAGGAAAAGUCAGAAAUGGGAAGGAAAUUGCAAAAUUUAUAAACAAUUACAUCACUGAGAUAACUGGUUUUGAAAAAAGAGAUCCGAGAAUAAUAAAAGAAAACAAGAGAUGGAAGUACCCACAGUGGGAGUUCAUCAAGAUCAACUUUGACGGUGCAUAUAAUGAGAGCCAAAAUCGGUCAGCUUCAAGUAUUAUGGCCAGAGAUUCGGAAGGAAAAGUUCUUUUAUCUUGUUCAGAAAUCCACGAUGACAUAUCAUCUGCUUUUGCUGCUGAAGCAAUAGCCUGUUGGAAAGCAGUCCAAGUAGGAGUUGAAAAGGGAUGGCAGUCACUCAUCUUUGAAGGAGAUUCCCUCGCAAUAAUCAAGAAAUGUAGCACAAAGGGUCAAGAUCGAUCAAUGGUAGGGGCAUACAUUUAUGAUAUCCAACAGAAAAUACAUGGACUAAAUAAUAUCAGAUUUCAACAUACACCAAGAUCUGCAAACAAUCUUGCACAUAUUCUUGCAACAGAAACGCUAAGAAGAAGAGAGGAAAUAUACCUGGAAAUGGGAGUUCCCGAGUAUGCUGAGGAUCAAACACGGUAUGAUGGGGUGAACGAGCCAGACUAGGAAAGCCUCAGGAGAUGAAGAAUGGAAGAGAGAAAGUUUCAAAACAAAAAGAAAAUAGAACGAUCUACAAGGAAAGUUUUGAAAAUGAAAUCGUCAAAAGGAAAAUGAAAUGACAGAAAGAGGAGAAGACAGAUAUCAGUAAAUUCUGAUUGGGCAACGGAUCAACGCAUUUAGUGUCGUUUCUAGAAUUUUCCAUUAUAAUAUCUAGAUAUUUUGUUUGUCUAUGGCCAUCUGAAUUGGGUCGUUUCCUUAGGUUUAGGUUUCAAUUUUUGAAUUUAUGUUUUUUGGGC